AUUGGACGCUGGCGGCAUGCCUUACACAUGCAAGUCGAACGGUAACAGGUCUUCGGAUGCUGACGAGUGGCGAACGGGUGAGUAAUACAUCGGAACGUGCCCGAUCGUGGGGGAUAACUACUCGAAAGAGUAGCUAAUACCGCAUACGAUCUACGGAUGAAAGCGGGGGAUCUUCGGACCUCGUGCGGACGGAGCGGCCGAUGGCAGAUUAGGUAGUUGGUGGGAUAAAAGCUUACCAAGCCGACGAUCUGUAGCUGGUCUGAGAGGACGACCAGCCACACUGGGAAUGAGACACGGCCCAGACUCCUACGGGAGGCAGCAGUGGGGAAUUUUGGACAAUGGGCGAAAGCCUGAUCCAGCCAUGCCGCGUGCAGGAUGAAGGCCUUCGGGUUGUAAACUGCUUUUGUACGGAACGAAAAGACUCUUUCUAAUAAAGAGGGUCCAUGACGGUACCGUAAGAAUAAGCACCGGCUAACUACGUGCCAGCAGCCGCCGUAA
RNAcentral lists this ribosomal RNA (498 nucleotides) under uncultured bacterium. RNAcentral's name for it is "partial 16S ribosomal RNA". It matches the Rfam family "Bacterial small subunit ribosomal RNA", at positions 30 to 523 of the family's 1533-position model. The record is from RNAcentral.